Molecule: ribosomal RNA, 288 nt
Filed under: uncultured bacterium
Lineage: Bacteria
Description: partial 16S ribosomal RNA
Rfam family: Bacterial small subunit ribosomal RNA
Source: RNAcentral
GUGGAUUAGAUACCCGGGUAGUCCACGCCGUAAACGAUGAGUGCUAGCUGUAGGGAGCUAUAAGUUCUCUGUAGCGCAGCUAACGCAUUAAGCACUCCGCCUGGGGAGUACGACCGCAAGGUUGAAACUCAAAGGAAUUGACGGGGGCCCGCACAAGCGGUGGAGCAUGUGGUUUAAUUCGAAGCAACGCGAAGAACCUUACCAGGUCUUGACAUACUCGUGCUAUCCUUAGAGAUAAGGAGUUCCUUCGGGACACGGGAUACAGGUGGUGCAUGGUCGGCGUCAGCU